CAAUAGCGUAUAUUAAAGUUGUUGCGGUAAAAAAGCUCGUAGUUGGAUUUCUGUUGAGAGCGACCGGUCCAUACCAUGUAUGCGUAUCUGGCUUGCUCUCGGCAUCCUCUCGAUAGACGUUACUGCGCUUGAUUGCGUGGUGCGGAUCUCGGGACUUUUACUUUGAGGAAAUUAGAGUGUUCACGGCAGGCUUUCGCCAGAAUACAUUAGCAUGGAAUAAUACUAUAGGAUCUUGGUUCUAUUUUGUUGGUUUCUAGAAUUGAGAUAAUGAUUAAUAGGGACAAUUGGGGGCAUUCGUAUCAACACGUCAGAGGUGGAAUUCUUGGAUUGUGUGGCGACGAACUACUGCGAAAGCAUUUGCCAAGGAUGUUUUCAUUGA
RNAcentral lists this ribosomal RNA (379 nucleotides) under uncultured eukaryote. Its description in RNAcentral is "partial 18S ribosomal RNA". It matches the Rfam family "Eukaryotic small subunit ribosomal RNA", at positions 592 to 976 of the family's 1831-position model. The record is from RNAcentral.